AUGACGUCUCUGUUCAUCUCAGUGUUGCUGGCUGCUAUGUGCCUUGAAUGCAGAGCACAACAAGACAACGUGCUGCAGCCAAAAGGAGAUGUGACUGCUACUAAGGGAGAGACAGUAACACUUGAAUGUCAAUAUAAAACCAGUUCAACAAGUAAUUACCUCUUCUGGUACAAACAGGACGGAAACAACAGACCCAAAUUCAUCCUGAGCCGCGUUAUACUGGAUAACGGGAACACAGUAGAUGAGUUCAAGGAAAGAUUUUCAUCAACUUUGAAUUCAACCUCAAGAUCAGUUCCUCUGAAGAUCCAGAAGCUGCAGCUGUCUGACUCUGCUGUGUACUACUGUGCUCUGAGGCCCACAGUGACAGGAAACGCCAAAACU
Molecule: non-coding RNA, 381 nt
Organism: Scomber japonicus (chub mackerel)
Lineage: Eukaryota; Metazoa; Chordata; Actinopteri; Scombriformes; Scombridae
Source: the annotation of a RefSeq genome assembly